Molecule: ribosomal RNA, 333 nt
Filed under: Triticum aestivum (bread wheat)
Lineage: Eukaryota; Viridiplantae; Streptophyta; Magnoliopsida; Poales; Poaceae
Description: partial small subunit ribosomal RNA
Source: RNAcentral
AUGUUUCUUUUUCUUUUUCGGAGUUCCAAGUUUUCCGCAUUAUCUCGUCGCGAAGCUCCAUCUAAAUCAUUGCAAGGUUUCACCUUGUGUUUUCAACUUCUUUUUCUUUUCAUCAUCCUUUUAUUACCGGAGUUCUUCAUGGAGGCUUUACAUGGUGGUUCAUCAAGGAUUCCUUUCAUUCUUCAAUUGUUCUUCAAGAUUUCUCUCAAAGUUAUGACCCGCCAAGCUAUACUCAAAAGUAAACAUGGUGCUCAACACAUGUUUUGUUUUAAGGAGUUCAAGCAUUCUUCAUCUUGCAUUCCGAAGUGCAAUUCUUUUUACCUUAUCAUUUGA